Molecule: non-coding RNA, 241 nt
Organism: Pelobates cultripes (western spadefoot toad)
Lineage: Eukaryota; Metazoa; Chordata; Amphibia; Anura; Pelobatidae
Source: the annotation of a GenBank genome assembly
UGUACACUUAACAUGUUAAUCACUUUUAUUUAAUCAGGGGACCAAUGUUACAGUAAUCCCUGAUUGUCCUUAGGGAGAUUACAAAUGGAACACUACAUGUGCCAUCGAUAUCACACAUUUAACCCCUUAAGGACACAUGACACGUGUGAGAUGUCAUGAUUUCCCUUUAUUCCAGAAGUUUGGUCCUUAAGGGGUUAAACAGAUCAAGAAGUUGGAAUGUAUCCACUACACCUUUGAUAAG